AAACACCAAAAACAUAUAGACGGGUAGGUCGGAAUGUCCGCUGAAGAUUGACAGAUGCACCAAAGUCACCUCUCAAAACCUCCAAUAUGUCUAUUCAUAUUCCAACUCCCUCCUCCUCGCUCUCCUUCCUCCCCAAGAAACCAUGUCUCUUAGCCCAUUGAUGUUGCGGUCACUGGUGAGGCUACUAACAUCACUGGUUCGUGAUCCGGCUGCUUCAGUCACAACCCUUCUUUACCACAGUGAGCUUCUACCUCAGAAUAUCGUGCUAGAGAGAUUAGUUCGACACGAAUUGCUUGACCAAGAAAACUAUUUGUUCCACUUCCUGGUCAGCUUUCUGAGAUGUUUUUGGUAAGAGUAGCUAUAUAGGACUUGGUAGUUCCAAUACAGGAGCUGGCAAUUUUAUAGUAAUCGCAUACCAUUAGACAUUAGUUAGUUCUGAGUUUUUGGAAUUGAAAUUGCUCUGUCUUCAAAUCUUAAUGAGAAAAGUAUCCUCGCUCUUGUAAUGUUGGUGAGA
Molecule: long non-coding RNA, 514 nt
Organism: Argentina anserina (silverweed cinquefoil)
Lineage: Eukaryota; Viridiplantae; Streptophyta; Magnoliopsida; Rosales; Rosaceae
Exons: 2
Source: RefSeq, a predicted model, not a curated record